UGAGCAUGUGAGUCUGUUUAUUAUCUUGUCCAAGUCACCUCGUGUGAUGCAAAGAUCAGUGGACUCAUAGCACAUUAGUUACAAAAUGAUCAAUUAAUAGCAGAGAAGUGUGUAGGAAAGGCAGCUUUAAGAACAUGCCCUGCUGGAGAUGCAGCUCCACAGACAUCGAUUAAACCUGCCUAAUAACACAAACACACAGGCAAUGAAAAUCAGCUUGUUAUCUCUCAUCAGUGUUAAAAUUGUGCCAAUUUAGCAGACACCUGUUAUCAAAUGCUGAAUUUAUCCAAUGCUGACAGUUAACUCUCUAGGUUGCAGGACAACAGUUUAAUUUUUGUGAAAAAAAGAUUCUGAUUUGACCAACCAGUGAUCAGACAAUAAAUGUAGUUGUUAAUAUAGUAAAUUGGGAGAUGCUUUCUGCUUGACUGAUGCAGCACAAGUAAUUUACUGUAUGCGGGCAAUUCUAUUUUUGUGAUAAUAUUUUGAACAUGCAUUUCUUUUUUUUUUUCUUUCUUUUUUUUUCUUUUUUUUUUUUUUGUCUGUCCCAUUUGGUUCUUAAGCCGUCAGAACUGUUGUCUGAAGACCAACAAGGAUACCAAAUGGAUUUAUUUUGCCAAAUGGAUCAUCAUGGCAUUGCCGUAUUGGUCCAUUUGAUCAAACUUUGUUAUUUUUAUUUAUUUUAUUUUCAGUUGUUACAGAUGGGACAGACAUGACUGGGGGAUAGGAAAGGGAGAAAGAAAGAGAGGAAAGAAAAGAAAAACAGAAGGGAAAAGGGACAGUGAGAAAGGGCACUUAUAAAGAGAAAGAGAAAGAAAAAAAAAAAAUCUCCUGGAUCACCUGUUGAGAGAAAAAGGAGAAGACAAGCAAAAAAAAACAAAAAAACAAAAAACAAAGCAACAUACUAAACACAACACCAUCACGUUAAUCUAGCUGAGUGUGAACAGCAGUAAAUACUAAAUAUUGAAAGUUGUUGUGCAGCACACAGGACAGACAGCGCACAAUGUGCUUUGAAGUAGCAGCUAAGAAAGGUGUAGUUUGUCUACGAACAGUGAACACCCGUGUGUACACCUGUGUGGAUCAACGCGCUUGUAUACAAAAAGGUUUCCCCAGUAACGGUCUGCUAGAUGGGUUGGAGGCCCAUAGCCCCGUCCCCCAGGGCAUGAAGCAGGCAUGGAGGAGAUCCAGGCUCCAGACAUCCAGAGGCCCCAGAGUGCGAGAGCCCAAGGAGGACCACCGGAGGGGCAUCCGUGCCACCUUCCUGGGAAGGGCUGAGGAGAUCCCCAG
This is a long non-coding RNA of Oreochromis aureus, 1281 nucleotides long. The record is from Ensembl. NCBI's taxonomy places the organism in Eukaryota, Metazoa, Chordata, Actinopteri, Cichliformes, Cichlidae.